UGGGGGAUAGUUUAACGGUAGAACUGCGGACUCUGACUCCGUCGGUCCUGGUUCGAAUCCAGGUCCCCCAGCCA
Molecule: transfer RNA, 74 nt
Filed under: Rhodospirillaceae bacterium
Lineage: Bacteria; Pseudomonadati; Pseudomonadota; Alphaproteobacteria; Rhodospirillales; Rhodospirillaceae
Also listed under: 1 other name
Description: tRNA-Gln
Rfam family: tRNA
About the family: Transfer RNA (tRNA) molecules are approximately 80 nucleotides in length. Their secondary structure includes four short double-helical elements and three loops (D, anti-codon, and T loops).
Source: RNAcentral